AACCGCAUGGUUCAAUAGUGAAAGACGGUUUUGCUGUCACUUAUAGAUGGAUCCGCGCCGCAUUAGCUAGUUGGUAAGGUAACGGCUUACCAAGGCAACGAUGCGUAGCCGACCUGAGAGGGUGAUCGGCCACACUGGAACUGAGACACGGUCCAGACUCCUACGGGAGGCAGCAGUAGGGAAUCUUCCGCAAUGGGCGAAAGCCUGACGGAGCAACGCCGCGUGAGUGAUGAAGGUCUUCGGAUCGUAAAACUCUGUUAUUAGGGAAGAACAAAUGUGUAAGUAACUAUGCACGUCUUGACGGUACCUAAUCAGAAAGCCACGGCUAACUACGUGCCAGCAGCCGCGGUAAUACGUAGGUGGCAAGCGUUAUCCGGAAUUAUUGGGCGUAAAGCGCGCGUAGGCGGUUUUUUAAGUCUGAUGUGAAAGCCCACGGCUCAACCGUGGAGGGUCAUUGGAAACUGGAAAACUUGAGUGCAGAAGAGGAAAGUGGAAUUCCAUGUGUAGCGGUGAAAUGCGCAGAGAUAUGGAGGAACACCAGUGGCGAAGGCGACUUUCUGGUCUGUAACUGACGCUGAUGUGCGA
RNAcentral lists this ribosomal RNA (585 nucleotides) under uncultured Staphylococcus sp. RNAcentral's name for it is "bacterial SSU rRNA". It matches the Rfam family "Bacterial small subunit ribosomal RNA", at positions 184 to 756 of the family's 1533-position model. Lineage: Bacteria; Bacillati; Bacillota; Bacilli; Caryophanales; Staphylococcaceae. The record is from RNAcentral.